RNAcentral lists this transfer RNA (64 nucleotides) under Acropora cervicornis. RNAcentral describes it as "tRNA-Ser". Lineage: Eukaryota; Metazoa; Cnidaria; Anthozoa; Scleractinia; Acroporidae. The record is from RNAcentral.
GGGGCCCAGUAGUUAGGGCCCCAGAUUUGAAAUCUGGAGAUCCCGAGUUCAAGUGCUCUGAUCA